GGCAGGGUCAGAAACAAAACAGGGCGCAAACAAAAAGAACGGGAGAGAAAACGGGUGAUGCAUGGAUUUAAUCAGCUCCACUCCUACGAAUCGUAAAGGAACCGCUUCCUGACACAGUCCAGUCUGGUAUCUUCUCUACCCCAAGAUCAACUACUCCAACUUGUAAAGGAAUCACAUUCUGGAACUGACACAUUCCAGGCUGAGUUGGGUUGGUCCCUGGAGCAACUGGGGGUUAAGGGCCCUGCUCAAGGGCCCGACAGUGACAUUAGGAUGCCAAACGAAGGAUUUGAACCUGUAACCUUCCGAUCACAAGCACAACAUCCCGACCCACUGAGACAGAAAUGGACUAAAGGCCAGCUGGAGAGACACUUCUGACCAGCCGAUCACCAGGAAGCGGAACCUGCUUGUCCGGAGGGGUGGCGGGUUUGGGCCAGAAGAAUUACCUCCAUCUCUCUCUUAUUGUGGACACCAAAGUGAAGGAAGUCCCAGAGAAGGGUAUGCAAAAGCUUCCUGCUAUUUAUGUUUUUAUAGCUUUUGCAAAGCUAUGCCACAAAAGUGUCAAAUGCACAAAAGACCGCGGAAAAAUUAUCUACUAUAAUAAUUAGUUCUCAUCGGAUGCAAGAUGGUUAGCUGCUAAAGCAGGAAUUUAGCCAGGAUUCUUCUCAUUGCAAUGAGCUAAUUAUUAAAAGUGCUAUAAUCAGGAACGGAAGUUGGUAAAUCCAACUUUUGACUCAUUAACAACAGCAUGCAUUGCUCAAGACUUCAUAUUCUAUGUAUCGUUACAAGGUGAGAAUGUCUAAUUUAUGCAUAUGAAUUGUACAAGAAAGUCAUACAAAAGCGUAUGCCUGAAAAAUUUGCUUAUUGAGAACUCAUUAAAGCGGGUGCCUCUUCUGUGUGAAGAAGCCUGGGGAUAUUUCACGUCCCUCCCAUAUGAAAUCCUCUUUGCGAUGUAUCCAUGCUGACUAACAAUAAAAAAAUGCCAAAAUACCAGUUCUUUGUUUUCUCAAGCAAAGUGAGAAAAGCAUAGUAAACAAAACUGCACCGCAUCAAAUCACAUGACACAAACAUAAGGAGUAAAACACCAUCACUUAUUAAUCGUACACCACUAUUACAAAUUUUCCUGCUAAGAUUACUUACAUAGUA
This is a long non-coding RNA of Paramormyrops kingsleyae, 1143 nucleotides long. RefSeq lists it as uncharacterized. Lineage: Eukaryota; Metazoa; Chordata; Actinopteri; Osteoglossiformes; Mormyridae. The record is from RefSeq and is a predicted model, not a curated record.